RNAcentral lists this ribosomal RNA (253 nucleotides) under uncultured bacterium. Its description in RNAcentral is "partial 16S ribosomal RNA". It matches the Rfam family "Bacterial small subunit ribosomal RNA", at positions 524 to 776 of the family's 1533-position model. The record is from RNAcentral.
UACGUAGGGCGCAAGCGUUGUCCGGAAUUAUUGGGCGUAAAGCGCUCGUAGGCGGUUUGUCGCGUCUGCUGUGAAAACCUAAGGCUCAACCUUGGGCUUGCAGUGGGUACGGGCAGACUAGAGUGCGGUAGGGGUGACUGGAAUUCCUGGUGUAGCGGUGGAAUGCGCAGAUAUCAGGAGGAACACCGAUGGCGAAGGCAGGUCACUGGGCCGCAACUGACGCUGAGGAGCGAAAGCAUGGGGAGCGAACAGG